This 3287-nucleotide long non-coding RNA is filed under the name Sus scrofa (pig). Its description in RNAcentral is "lncRNA (ENSSSCG00050006309.1)". The record is from RNAcentral. Lineage: Eukaryota; Metazoa; Chordata; Mammalia; Artiodactyla; Suidae.
UUUUUUUUUUUGCUUAAGACCUUUUAAGCUGGGUUUCUAACAUUUACACUUGAAAAAGUCCUGGCUCUUUUACUCCCCUAAACCCACCAGAGGAGACAGAAGGAACUCACCACUUCCCCUCCUUGUCUCUACCUAGGGACCCUGGUGGCUUUUCUUUUGCAGGAACGUGGGCUACCCAUUUUUCUCCGCAGCAGUUCAGAAGCCCUUGGUCUUUCACCCUCUGACUGUUCUUGACCUUAGUGACCGUGAUCAUCCUCCAUCGCUGACUCUGUCUCCUCUUCCCCCAACAGGCACUUCCCCUUGCCCAGCUGGAGGUAUGUUCCCGCCUACCCAUGUCAUUCCAGACAUGUUCACCUGGCCGCCAUGACCCUAACGGCAUCAAAGGAGCAACCAAGAGUUCAGCAAGUUCCUGGGACAGAAGAGAAAGAAGGGAGUUUCUGGCAUCUUGGAGAUGCUCACCAUUGCACUGGAAAGGAGCCUUGCAGAUAAGUAUUCAAACUUACCAGCCCAUAGCCUACCAGCCUGCCCUCUGCUGGUCUGUGCAGGAAAGUACAAUAUCCCAGAAUUCUCAAGGGGAAGAGAAAUCCAUGCAGCAGCUCAUUCACUUUCCCACCUCUACGCCACAAACAAAGCUUGUCCCUGAUUUACGGGGCCCCCAGAAAUAAUUUUCCUACCCCUUUUGGCAUCAAGGUUAGUAUUCUAUAAACUCCACCAUCAGGAGCUUCUGAGCUGAGUUUAAUGACCUUACCUUGAGCACCUGUAGAUGUGGAGUCAGAAGACUCCUUGAGAUGGGCUGGCCCUUUCCUCCUGAGUUCUGAUCCUCUAUCAUCAUAUUGAUACAGCUUGGCUAGGGCUCUUUUGCCUGGCAGUCAAGCAGGGACUUCAGCACUGUGGCCCCAGGGCACAUACUUCACAGGGUGAGGGUCCAAGUACAUCUCUAGCCCUGGACCCAUGCCUCAAGCUGAGGUACUGGCAGCAAGCUCAGAAAACAUACUGAGAGGGCCCCUGACUCUCCUGGCCCAGGUCUGCCAGUUGAUGACGAUGGCUUAGCCAUCACGAAAAGCAAAACCUGGGAGAUGGUCUUUGGUUAGGAUUCGUGGGCAUUCUCUGGGCUUCUCCAGACUUGUGACAUGGGGACUGCCUGCCAUCGGGUCCCCAAGCUUUUCCUGAUGCCUCAGAAGAGAAAGUGGAAGAGGAGGGCGGGUGCGGGAAGAUACCUGAGGUUGGGCAGAAGGGCCCCUUCUACGUCCCAUCCACUGCCUCCAGCUACAGGUUAUGACUGUACGCUUUGGGUGGAAGUCUGGACUGGAAAGGCCCUGCCUCCCAGAGAGACUUCCCACGGCAGCACGGGAGGCAGAGCUGGGAUUGGACUCUGGGUCCCCAGCUCUUGUCUGAUGCUCUCGUUCAAGCUGUCAUCCAGCUGAGUUUGCCUUGCUGUCUCUUGGGUGGGUCACGUUCUACCAUCGAUGGGGACAGGGAACCAAGGAUGUUCUGGGGCAGGAGGAAGGGUGGUGGGGGCAGAGUGCCUGGGCCCACCCUCCCUUGCUCCCAGGCCUUCCUGUUAGUAGAAAGUUCUGGCCUGGGCUGGCUGGGGAGGGGGCCUGGGUAUGGUUUUCUCCUGCGCUGUGUUUGGAUCCUUUGUCUUCCAGGAUGGGCCUCUGGGGUCUGCGUGGGGUAGGAGCCUGGGCUGCCAGCAUUUUGGCUGGGUGCUGUCAGCACAAGUAUGGACCACGUGACCUCUCCAGGAUGAUGCUGAGGAACCAGAGGUCAAGACGAGGUGUGGUCCCGCCCUCUCAGAUCUUCAUGCUUCUUGGCCCCGCAGCAUCUCCAGGACACCCAGUCUGGUCUUCUGGAGAGCCUGGGUGACCCUGGGCACAGUGACACAGGGAGCAGCCGCCGGUGGUUUUCUGGAUAAGACCUCACCUUUCCUGACUCCUGGGAUGGAGAAUCUCCUGGACAAAGGCCCCUCCUGGUUGGUGCCCAGCCAAAGACAGGACCCAGCUCUGGAGGACAGCUCAAGGGGUGGGAGGAGGGCUGGCAGCUGGCCGCCCCCUCUGCUUCUCUCUGGCCCCAUCUGCCAGGCCCUCCUCCCCAGGCCUGGAGGCCCCUCCUGACCCCCCGUGGACUUGGUUUCUCCUUGCAGCCCUGCCAGCCAUCAGGCAGAGCUCCGCCUGGGCCAGGACAGGGGCAGGAACGUGGGAUGGGAGUCGGGUAGGAGCUGCAAGUGGGAGGCAGGUCGAUGCAGCCCUGGGGUGCCGUUGGCUGGAGUCUGUCUUGCGCUGUGUGAGUGAUUCUCAUUUUUGUGGGGGAUUCUUGGAUGGGGCCUUUUGGUGCUUCUUUUCUACCUGACAGUCAAAGGGAGAAGGCAGGAUGGGCCUGGGGGUGGGGGGUGGCUGGACCUCUUGCUGGGGUGUGGAGCUCUGGGAGGGGCAGUGAUCCUGAAAGGAGAGCAGUUCUGAGAGAUGAGAGACCCUGCCUGGGGGAGGGUCUUGCAGAAGGAGCCAGACACUGGGCCUUGGUCCUGCCAUCCAAAGGGAAUGUUCUGGAAUUGGCCUCACCUCAAGGCUUGAGAGGUCACCCCAGCUCCAUCUCAGACCCCUGCUCCUUGUCACAAUCCUGUCCUUGGGGAGCAGAGACAGUUAGGGCGGGCUCCACACGCAGGCAGCUUCCCCUGUCACAGAGCUACACCCUCGCUUCCGUGCCCCAUCCCCAUUCUCGCCUCUUCCAGCCCCUCAAGGGUGGCCCGUCCCAGGACUUGCAGGACAACAGGCUUCCUCAGGCAAACUUAAGAGCCUGAUGUCCUUUUCCCAGGGUGGUGAGGGACCUGUGUUAGUCUGCCUGGGCUGCUGUAACAGAAUACUGUGAUUCAGUGGCUAGAACAGCAGAAAUGUAUUUUCUCAGGUUCUAGAGGCUGCAAGUCCCAGAUCAGGGUGCUAGAGAUGGUUUGUCCUGAGGCCUCUCUCCUUGGCUUGCAGAUAGAAACUUCUUGCUCUGUUCGCACAUGGCCUUUUCUCUGUGCAUACACAGGGUGAGAAGGCGAGAGAGAAAGAGAGGGAGAGAGAGAGAGAAAGAGAGGGAGAAAGCAAGGGUGAAGGAGAAAGCGAGGGUAAGAGAGAAAGGGAGAGAGAGAGAAAUAAGGGAGGGAGGAGGAGAAAUAGAUGACUGAAGUCUCUUCCAUUUCCGAUAAGGGCACCAGUCCUGUGGGGUUAGGGCCUCAUUCUUAUGACCUCAUUUAGCUGUAAUGACCUAUGUUAAAGCCUAUCUCCAAAUACAGUCACCUUAGGGGU